GAGUCUUGGGGAGAGCAGGUUUAAUAUAUCUUUAGUCAACAAUCUCCCAAUAAGAACUGAAUUUGAUAAGACUAUAUAAAUUACAGCAAGAAAAAGAUUAAAAUGUCAGUCUUUACAAUUCUUGACCAACUUGGAUCAUGUUAUUCAUGCUGUCAUUUAUGUUUGAAACGCAUUAUGAACCCAACCCAAGAUUUUCUUCACCUACAUCCUUUCUCCAAACCUCUUCCUUUCUCAGAAUUCUCUCAUAGUUAAUGCCAUAAACAUCCUCCUAGUCACUGGCUGGAACUCUUGAGACCAUUUUAGCUCCUUAUUUUCCUUCAUCUUGUACAUUCUGUGAAAUACCAGUUCUAGUUAGUUCUGUCUACAGAGUUCCUUUCAUACUUGCCUUUUUGUUGUUGUUUAACAAAGCAUUGGCUGAUUCCAGGUUCUUGGUAUUUCUUGCUUGAAUAAGUACUAUACUCAAUUUAACUUGAGUAUAGGUUUCAAAUAUUUGCUACCUCCCAUCCAGUAUGCCACACUGCCCCUCUUAAAUGCUAUGAAAAUCUUUGCAUUGCAUUUGAGUCUCCUGUAUUGACCCUCUAGUUCAACACAGUGGCCCACUGUUACCCCAAGAAAGUCAUUUUCAGAUUUCUGCUUAGUUUAUGCUAGAAAUGGCAAAAUUGGUCUCAACCCUUAGGUCCAAAUCAGAAGCAACCUUUGACACUUUCCAUGUAAUCUGUAUCCUUCUGAGCUAGGAGACAGGGAAGUUUCAUGUGAUAGAGAAGGAAGACUGUAAUAGGACAAGAAACAUACUCCUCCUUUUCGCUUCUUCAGCCUCUCCAUGCAUCCAGUGCCUUCCUUCUUUCCCUUCAAUGCGCUCUGAAUGCCGCUGCAUGCUCUGCUUCCUGACCAGGGGCAUGGCUUAUUGGCAGGAUCUAGCUGAGAGCUGAAGAAAAGGAGAAAAGCUAAACUUCAAAAAGCAUGCACUUCGCAUGGACACAGGGUCUGAGGCAUUCCUUGGGGAACACAGAGAACCAAGGACUUGGUGUUAACUCAGCCCAGUUAUUUACUUAAUCCGACUUUGUUGAUGACCACUUUUCCAAACUGAGGGACAGUUCCGUUUGCAUCUCAGUCCUCUCCUGUAUAAAAACGUGAUGGUGAAUUAGAAAAAAAACCCAAAAACCGAACAGCCAUGUUUCUGCUUGAUGGUACAUUUCUUACCACAGCAAAAGUGUCUGAUUGAAAUGGUUAUAAUAGAGCAGAAGAAGCACAGAAGUUAAGGUAAGAGGACCUGUUUGAGUGUGAUGUGGACGUGCUUUUGAAGUACACACCUGGUGCUCUCUUCUGCCCACAGCUUCUCUCCGGCUGUGUGUAGUAGGAAUGAGGGGAGAAAGGGAGAGCGUGUCACAGAUUCUCCCCCACUGCCUAUGAUGCAGCCGCUUCUCCCAUACAAAGAGGAGACAGACAGCCCCCAACCAGCUCACAGGCUGCUGUUUGAUGUAUUCUAUCCCUGCUAGCUGAGAGCAGACAGACAGCCCUUGUUGAGAGGAAGCUGUGGCCUGAACUCUAGGCUGAAAUGGAGACAAUUGGAUCACUGAGCCAGAGGGUUGAAUAAGGUUCUCAGUUAUUAGGAAUUAUCACCAGAGUCCUACAUUGGGAAACACAUUCAGGCCACAGGUAAAAAGCAGACUGGUCAUGAUAAAGCUGAUGGAUCAUGGAGAGGCCCCACUCUACUCACACCUGUACAUUUGCUAGCAGGGAGAAGUUUUUCCAAAAUGAGAUGUCGUAGCCUGUAAAUAUUAAGUGGCCAGCUGUGAACCACUGCAAAGCCAAUCUGGACACAUUUUAAUUGGAAUAAGAGCCAGAGAAGUAGCCAAAGACAUCUGCCAAAGGAAUGGAAGUAGAUCUUGGUAUUACUUGAUUGCCCACUGGGGAUAAAGGGCAGCAAAUCAAGUGCUGGAAGUUAGAACCUUGUGAGAACAGAAAUGGGGCUAGAAAGUAUGGCAAUGUAAGUUUUCUUUCCAUAGAUUAGCAAUAACUAAUGGCAGAUAAAUCAUUCAUCCUUUAAAUCUUAACAUUUUCUUUGGAAUGAUAGUGUAGUUUACCUAAACUUUUUUCCUUAGUUCUGGUGAAGUAACUGAACUUGAAGUUUAAUUUCUUUGGAUAUAUUUCUUCAGUUCCUGCAGUUAUAAGCAGUCUCUGUCAUUUUAUGAAAAUGUGUUUUAUUCUCUAAUUUUUUGAGAAAGAAAAAGAAGUGUAGCCCAUUACCAGUCCAAACAAAGGGAAGCAGCUGAUAGAGUUUUGCAAAGUGCUGAUUGUACUUGUGAGCAACCCGUGGUCUGCUUGCUCUUGGAGAGGAGCAUUCUCUAACUUGAAAUUUUCCACUGUUUGCCAGGCCCAGGAAGUAUCAACAAUGGUUAAGUGAGAAUGAGAUUCGUGACCUUAAGAGUGGUUUGGCUAGAAAACCUGAGGAAAUACUCAGGGGUACCAUCCCAGCUGACAGGGAGUAGUGUGUUUCCUGGGUACUGGAAUGGCAGGGGGUGGGGUUGGUCCUUGGGAUGGAUGUGCACCUGCUUUCUGAUGGUCUUCUAAUGAGGGAUUUUGUUUUUCUCUGACAGGGGUGACUUAGAUGUCAUCCUCUCUGGGACAGAGAUGUCCUUAUGUCUCUGAGGUUUGACGAAUUUCCUAAGAGACCACAGGGACAUGUUCUUUGACCUGGACUAGUUUUGAUAUGGGAUGGCACUUAAAUUACCUGUUCUCAGGCUUGAGUUUCUUGCUUUAUCUCUGCAUUGCCCUCACAUUCUCCCAGAGCCACAUUCCCCCUGCUCUGACACCUGCUUCUCUGAACUCCGGAGGAAGUUCUGCGCACCCAACAGGGCAAGUGAGGUCAAUGGAACACUGAGCCCAGCAAGGCAGAAAUAAAGAAAAUGCAGCAGUCAUUCUGGACGGUGGUAGGUUUAUGUCCCAAGAAGAAGGAAACAUGAGCACUUCAAGGACACAGGAAUUUGUCAGAAUUCUUUCUUUGCCAAAUCCUAGCAGAGGUCUGCCCUCAGUCCACUGUCAAGAACAAUUUCCUGUUCUCUUUUUCCAGCCUGCAUGUCCAUUCUGUGGAGAAAGACUUGGCUUCCACUGAUGGACUGUCAAAUGUAGCUGAGUUCAGUACCUUUGCCAAAACGUUUAACCAUUUCCUCUGGAAAGCUGAUAUCCAAAUAGAACCUACCCAGUAACUUUAUUUGCUUUCAUGAAUUAUUAAAACUGCUAAAAUUUUACCUGUCAGUCUCUCCUUGGGAAGCAGUGGGAAAUCUGAGGAUAAUUUUCUGCUGAGAAAUAAGUAAGACAUGAUCUUAAAGGUAAAAUUUUAAAGGUGAUCAUGUCUCACAAGCCCAAAGUUUCCAUUGUAAUAGUCCAGCUGUUGGUCACAUGCCACAUUCAUGCAACAGUGAUUCUUUUUAGAUCUUGCCAUCAAAAUUUGCGUACAGCUCAACCCAGUAGGGCAGCUAGCACCAAUGGGAGCAAGUGGGCAAUUCAUCUACACAUGAAGUGCUGCAGGAGACCUGAAAUGUUUCUUCAGAGAUCUUUCUUCCUACAUUUGCUGAUUUCUUUUAAUGAGUAUAGAAAGAGAGAUUAUGUGUGCUUAACUUUAUGCAAGUUUCUAUUCAGAUGUGGUUUCUUGUAAUGUAGGAAACAUUUUUAUUUUUAAUUUGAGAAGCAUCCAGGCCUGAAAUUUGACAGUAAAGAAGUCAGGGUAAGGUUUUGCACAGAAAAUCUUAAGAUGUUUGGUUUCAGUCGUUGCAAAGGAGAAUGGUUUCUGCCUAGAGGCUUAGUUUGGUGACGUUAGAAAAUCACAAAGAUAAGAAGACUGAAUUAAAGCCAUUUUAACUAGGCACCUCAAGAACAGUGGUCUCACAUUGAAAAAUGUUUUGCAAAUCAAACGUUUGGUAACUUCAGAUGCAUUUAAUAUGAACUCAGAUAUGUGGUAAGUAUGUGUAAUCAGAAAGCGUCCACUUCCUAUCAGUCUGUGGUUAUAUGAAGACAAUUGACGUUAAUUUCCCAGACUCACUAUUUGGUAGCCUUCUAGCGUGUAACCGUAAAGCACCAGCGCCCGGCACAGUUGCCCCCAAGGAGUGACCCACACCCUCUGCCGGGCACUCUCUCAUCACUGAGCCAGGCACUUUGUCUUCUGGCCAUCAGCCUGGCCUUAGGGACAGCCCCCGAGUUGGGUCGUGUCCUCAUGGGGGAUCCUCCUGGCAGUUGUUUUCUGCAACAGCCCAACUAUCACCACCUUCAAUUGCUAAAAUGACAAAACCCUAAGGUACGAAACAAUCCUGUGUCCCCUUCAGUCCUCACUCUACCCGGGGACCGCAUUGUAGUCUGUGUGGAGUUGGUUGUCUUUUUCCUAUUUUGAACUUCACUUUGGAUCUGGACCCAAGCAUUUUUACUUGUGCUCUGAGUCUCACUAAGUCACUUGUGAAAACAGUCCUUUGAUUUUCUGCUUGACAGUAAAGUAACUUCCUCUUAGAGGCUAAAAACCUGGCUGGCACUAGACCAGAGGCCAUCACAUUUCCCUUUCAGUCCUCCACUGGGUUCCAGGAAAUAAAUCAUCUCCUAUAAUUAGACCUGAUGUGUUGCCCCAGCAAUAAGCGCUUCAUCCUUCACCCCCUGAAAAGACUGCAUUUCCUUUAGGGCCAUCCAGAACCACUGCUGAUGCAUAGCAAAAACCAACUCUAUUGUAAAGACAGUAGUGCCAUGAAACUCUGCAGAAUUCACACAUCUAAAAUUAUUUCCAGACAGACCUACAAUCUUUAAUAUCAUCCCCUUCUCUCCUCACGCCAAACAACUCUUUCCAGUAACUUCAGAAAGUGAAGAGAUAUGGUAAACCUGAAACUUCUGUGUGACAAAGAGCUCAACAGUUGUGAAAUUGCUUGCAGCACAUGUAGUCAACACGGGAGCUGAGAAAGUUUAUUUCUACUUCAUUCAGGUGGUUUCAUUUUUUGAAGAAAGUGAGUAAGAGAUUCGGUUGGCUAUUGCAGAAUGGAGCAUGCAGGACCCUCCAUUUCUCUAACAGAUAAGAGGAACCAUGAUAUGCACGUGUAUCCAAAGGCCAGUUUUGGAUCAAAGCAGGUGGGCAGCUGACCCUCUGAGUUCCAGUUACCCUGUGGAAGAAUCAGAUUUUACGGAAAUGAGGGCUCAGUGAUCACGAUGCUGUAUUUGCGUCACAUUCAAGCGGAUGACUCUUGCUCGAUGAUUUCCAUGGCGAUGACCUCAGCACCCUCCAUAGCGACGAC
Non-coding RNA from Kogia breviceps (pygmy sperm whale), 5264 nucleotides. The record is from RefSeq and is a predicted model, not a curated record. NCBI's taxonomy places the organism in Eukaryota, Metazoa, Chordata, Mammalia, Artiodactyla, Physeteridae.